RNAcentral lists this ribosomal RNA (837 nucleotides) under Triticum aestivum (bread wheat). RNAcentral describes it as "partial small subunit ribosomal RNA". The record is from RNAcentral. Lineage: Eukaryota; Viridiplantae; Streptophyta; Magnoliopsida; Poales; Poaceae.
AUGCGCCAUCCCGCCCCUCUACCCCCGGGCUUCCAUGGUUUGCGGGAGCUAAGGAAUUUUACUCUCAUCAACGUCCAGUUACAGAAGAAGGGGGAUUACCAGCUGGAGAAGAUCAUCGCAACAUCACCAGCGCUCGAGGAACUGACACUUUGGGAUGUGAAUAUCCGAGGCAGAUUCAAAGAGUGGGUGAUUCAGGCGUCCAAUCUCCGGUUCCUCAAAAUUUGUUCGGCUUGUGAUUAUGGUUGGAACCUUGGGGAUCUUCCGCGCCUCGAUUAUGCUGUAAUUGAUGUAUGGGACUAUCUAGGUGGGGACUGUGAUUUCUCCAAAUUUAUCUCCAGCCUUGCAAGCGUUACUGAGCUUUGCAUAUAUACUUGUCAUCCACCGUCAAAUGGGGCUAAUAUGCUAGAGGAACUUCCAUGCACCUUUGUCAACUUAAAGAACUUGACGCUGUAUACACACUUCUGUGAACUUCCCUCAAUUUUGUCAACCUUUUGCUUGCUAAGGAAUGCUCCAAACCUUGAAAGACUCAAAAUACUGAUUUAUUAUGGCGAGGAGCAGAAAUUUGAGGCAAAUCGAGAGUUUCAAGAUGCACAAUGUACCGAUGGCAUGUGUGCCAACCUUCAGUUUGUGAAGAUGACUGGUAUUCACUGGCAUUCAAAUGAAAUGUCUUUCAUGGAGCUUAUUCUAUCUAAAGCAAGGCUUCUUCGCACAUUAUCCAUUAGUUAUGAUGAGGAAUGUGCAACGUCUAAUGAGGGUGCACUGAAGAAGUUACAAAAGUACAAAAAAGCUUCAACUCAUGCGAAGGUUAUAUUUAAAGGCAAAGCGGGAUCUUACUAG